AGAAAGAGAGAGAAAGUGAGGGACGAUGUGGAGGUGCAACUCUCUUUUUUUCUCCUUCGACUUUUCUCUCUUCUUGCUUUUCCUUCCUUUUUUUGUUUUCUUUCUUUCUCAUUUUCUUAUUUUAAUCAAUGGAGGA
RNAcentral lists this non-coding RNA (136 nucleotides) under Chromera velia. The record is from RNAcentral. Lineage: Eukaryota; Chromeraceae.